Solanum tuberosum (potato) is the source of this 45-nucleotide non-coding RNA. Lineage: Eukaryota; Viridiplantae; Streptophyta; Magnoliopsida; Solanales; Solanaceae. The record is from Rfam.
CCCAAGGAUUUUCUCAAGUCCACAAAACAUACUAACAAUAAGUGU